RNAcentral lists this ribosomal RNA (283 nucleotides) under uncultured bacterium. Its description in RNAcentral is "partial 16S ribosomal RNA". It matches the Rfam family "Bacterial small subunit ribosomal RNA", at positions 793 to 1055 of the family's 1533-position model. The record is from RNAcentral.
GUCCUGGCCCUAAACGAUGGGCACUAGGUUGUGGACUAACAUGGGUUCACAGCCGAAGCAAAAGUGUUAAGUGCCCCGCCUGGGGAGUAUGGUCGCAAGGCUGAAACUCAAAGGAAUUGACGGGGGCUCACACAAGCGGUGGAGCAUGUGGCUUAAUUCGAGGCUACGCGAAGAACCUUAUCCUGGGCUUGACAUGUCCGAAAGGGGUAGGAAGUAGUCUGCGGAAACGUUAGACCAACGGUAUCCAGUCCGGAACCUACUACAGGUGCUGCAUGGCUGUAGU